RNAcentral lists this ribosomal RNA (1013 nucleotides) under Ophiocordyceps sp. Its description in RNAcentral is "SSU rRNA". It matches the Rfam family "Eukaryotic small subunit ribosomal RNA", at positions 90 to 1114 of the family's 1831-position model. Lineage: Eukaryota; Fungi; Ascomycota; Sordariomycetes; Hypocreales; Ophiocordycipitaceae. The record is from RNAcentral.
CGAAUGGCUCAUUAUAUAAGUUAUCGUUUAUUUGAUAGUGCCUUACUACUUGGAUAACCGUGGUAAUUCUAGAGCUAAUACAUGCUAAAAGACCCGACUUUGGAAGGGUUGUAUUUAUUAGAUUAAAAACCAAUGCCCUCUGGGCUCACUGGUGAAUCAUGAUAACUUCGCGAAUCGCAUGGCCUUGUGCCGGCGAUGGCUCAUUCAAAUUUCUUCCCUAUCAACUUUCGAUGUUUGGGUAGUGGCCAAACAUGGUUGCAACGGGUAACGGAGGGUUAGGGCUCGACCCCGGAGAAGGAGCCUGAGAAACGGCUACUACAUCCAAGGAAGGCAGCAGGCGCGCAAAUUACCCAAUCCCGAUUCGGGGAGGUAGUGACAAUAAAUACUGAUACAGGGCUCUUUUGGGUCUUGUAAUUGGAAUGAGUACAAUUUAAAUCCCUUAACGAGGAACAAUUAGAGGGCAAGUCUGGUGCCAGCAGCCGCGGUAAUUCCAGCUCUAAUAGCGUAUAUUAAAGUUGUUGUGGUUAAAAAGCUCGUAGUUGAACCUUGGGCCUGGCUGGCGGGUCCGCCUCACCGCGUGUACUUCGCCGGCCGGGCCUUUCCCUCUGUGGAACCCUAUGCCCUUCACUGGGUGUGGUGGGGAAACAGGACUUUUACUUUGAAAAAAUUAGAGUGCUCCAGGCAGGCCUAUGCUCGAAUAUAUUAGCAUGGAAUAAUAAAAUAGGACGUGUGGUUCUAUUUUGUUGGUUUCUAGGACCGCCGUAAUGAUUAAUAGGGACAGCCGGGGGCAUCAGUAUUCAAUUGUCAGAGGUGAAAUUCUUGGAUUUAUUGAAGACUAACUACUGCGAAAGCAUUUGCCAAGAAUGUUUUCAUUAAUCAGGAACGAAAGUUAGGGGAUCGAAGACGAUCAGAUACCGUCGUAGUCUUAACCAUAAACUAUGCCGACUAGGGAUCGGACGAUGUUAUUACUUGACUCGUUCGGCACCUUACGAGAAAUCAAAGUGCUUGGGCUC